Molecule: long non-coding RNA, 463 nt
Filed under: Lynx pardinus (Iberian lynx)
Lineage: Eukaryota; Metazoa; Chordata; Mammalia; Carnivora; Felidae
Source: RNAcentral
AGUACACUAUACUUUAUUGAUGGUACAUGACAAAGUAGGGUUCCCCGAGCCCUCCCCUUCUUCAAGGUGUCUGGGAUGGAAACUGUGGAGGUUGGGAGAUUCUCAGUGUGUUGGAGGAUGAGCUGGGGUAAGGACUCCCCAGAAGCUGAGGGCCUCUCUCUUUCUCUUGUUCUCAGCCCUCAGCUGGUCCCGGGGUCUCUGACUCCUUGGAGGCCAUGUUAACCCAUAAGGUCCACAACCUAGUUUCUUUAGCCAAAUUCAUUGUUAUACCAGGAAAUGAGCUGACAGAGUGUCCAUUGAGAGCAGUGCCAACCCUAGCAUCGAAAUGGAAGAGUGGGUGUUCCUGUUAAAGUCAUGGGAGACAAACUAGUGUAGCCAAGAUGCCCUUAAGAGGACCCUCCAAUUCCUGUUUCACCACCUUCUUGAUGUCAUCAUAUUUGGCAGCUGUCUUCAGGAAGUAGGU